Molecule: long non-coding RNA, 6398 nt
Filed under: Sus scrofa (pig)
Lineage: Eukaryota; Metazoa; Chordata; Mammalia; Artiodactyla; Suidae
Description: lncRNA (ENSSSCG00000063310.1)
Source: RNAcentral
GCCCGUGACAAGUAAAAAAAUCAUAGAGUUACUCGCUCUCCGAAAACAAUCUAAAACCCAAAGGUUUAACCAAUUCAAUUUUCUAGUCACUGUGACAACUAUUUUCAUCCCCAGAACAGCGCUGGGGGCACGAAUACAGGACUAAUCCCAGGGUACUUUCACGGGCAAGCCCCGCUGGAAACUCUGAGAGAAGCUUCCGUUCCCGGACUCGCUGUGGGCAAGGGCAUCUGAUGACUCUCAGAGUCUCUUGCCAUGAAGACAGAUGCUUUAUUUACAGUCAGGGAGGGAGAAACCUGCUACUUGGGAGUUGAUUAUUGAGAUCCUAGGCAAUCAGUGGUGAGAAGGUCCAGCUUCAGAGGGAGUGGGGAAAAUCCAUUCAGGGUUUGCAAGGCCCAGGAGAGCAGCAUAAAGAAAAUAAAGGGGCGGGGGGGGGGGCAGUGCGAUGGACUGGGAUUUGGGGUUGGUAGAUGCAAACUAUUACAUUUAGAAUGAAUAAGCAGUGGGGUCCUAUUGUGCAGCACAGGGAGCUACAGCCAGUCUCUUGAGAUCCAUCAUGAUGGAAGAUAACAUAAGAAAGGGAAUAUAUGGAAUAUAUGUAUAUAUACAUAUAUACACACUUACAAUUGGGUCACUAUGCUGUGCAGCAGAAAUUGACACAACACUAUAAAUCAACUCUACUCUAAUAAAAAUUAAGUUGAAUACAUCUAAAUAUUUUAAAAAUAGAGAACACUGGGUCUGGAAUACCCAGACUUGAAUCCUGUCGAGUUAAGAAUGUGUGGUCUUGGAGCUCCCACUGUGGCACAAUGGGAUCAGCAGCAUCUUGAGAGUGCUGGGUUGCAGCUUUGAUCCCUGGCCUGGCAUGGUGGGUUAAGGAUCCAGCGUUGCUGCAGCUGUGGAGCAGGUCGAGACAGCGGCUCGGAUCUGAUCCCUAGCCCAGGAGCUCCAUAUGCCAUGGGACAGCCAAAAAAAAAAAAAAAGAGUAUAUGUGGUCUUGGUUAAAUCAUUUCGCCUUCCUAAGCCUCAACUGCCCCAAUAUGAAUAGAUGAAAAGGGCCACGUGAGACUCAACAGUAUGAAAGCCCCCCUGGCACAAUGCCUGGCACAUAGUAAGAGCUCAGUAAGUAUUUGCUGAAACACAGUCUGAAACAAGAAAUGCUGAAUUAUUGACAUCACUCCUUAACCAAUGGGCAAAAGUGUACUUACUGAAUGCACGCCAUAUGCCAAGCACUAAAUGGUGAGAAGAGAGAGGUAAAACCAGAUUACAAUGCCUGUCCUCAGGGCACGACAGAGAAAAUUCGUAGGACUGGAUAAGGAGAUCAGUCAUCUCCAAAUAUGAAAUCUAGAGCCCGAGGGGCGGGUAUCUGACCCGCACCCAGUGCGGGGGGGGGGGGGGGGGGGGGAAGACCCUGGAAACUAUCCAGAACCUUCCCACUCAAAGGUAGGUAGUUACACUCUGGUGUCUUGUAACUUACAGACUAACUCCUGCUGUCAUGGGCCCAGGGAAGGACGCUCAUUUUAACAUUAGUCUCAAACAGGUUGUUAGGAAGAUAAACCUGCAGCAAAUGUCAACACCUAAGCAUGGGUUGGUUUAGCAUAAUCUAAACACCCAAAGCAAAGAUUCAAGGGCAGACACAAGUGCCGUCCUGGAAAGCUGAAGGUAAAUUAAAAUGCCAUCUAGAGUAUUCGGCUCUUUUUCCUAUUGAACUGCAUUAGCCACUUGCAUUCUUGGGGUACCACCUCUGUGAUAUCUAUCCUCAAGCACAAUAAAAAAGGAGAAGGCAAGAGGUAGAAAGAAGAAGGAAGAGGAAGGAGGUGGGGGAUGGAAGAGGAAAAGGAGAAAAAGAAACUUAAAAAUCUUCCCAACAGCUCAGAUCUCAGUGCAGCCAUUCAACAGGGCAUUGGCACAGGGGGCGGGUGGCUCCGAGGGGCGGGGGGCGGGGAGGGGUUCUCUUCCCAAUGGAACUGACAGAAAUGGGAGUGAACUCAGCAAGCUACAAGGCCUUCCCUUCUCCUGGCUUCCCUUCCAAGGGGAAAGGGACUUGCUUCCUUCCCAGAACUUAAAGGAUUUGUUGUUUCAGAGGCAGCUGCCAUCUGUAGCUCCCAUCUCUCCUUCCCCAGAAUUUCCCAAGCCAAAAUCAUCUGGGGACGAGCCAUAGGCUCUUCAUCAUAGUAGAUGUCACCCAUAUUAUUAUUUGUUGUUUGUUUUUUUAAUUUAGGGGAUUUUCUUGGCCCCAACUACAGCAUGUGUAAUUUUGAGCCAGGGAUCGAACCUGUGCUGUAACUUGGGCUAUAACCUGUGCUGUAGCUGUAAAAUGCUAGAUCUUUAACCUGCUGCACCACCAGGGAACUCCUUUUAUUUGUUUUUUAUUUCUCAUUUAAAUCAACUUACUUUUGCAAAUGGCAAUUUCUAGGUCCAUCCAAACUGCCUCAAAUGGCAUUAUUUCGUUCCUUUUCAUGGCUGAGUAAUAUUCCAUCAUACAUAUGCACCACAUCAUCUUUAUCCAUUCCUCUAAUGCCAUUUGCAGUAACAUGGAUGGACCUAGAGAUUAUCAUAUUAAGUGAGGUUAGACAGUGGAAGACAAACAUCAUAUGGUAUCACUUGUAUGUGGAAUCUAAAAAAAAAAAAAAAAGAAUACAAAUGAACUUACUUGCAGAACAGAAAUAAACUCACAGACUUUAAAAACAAAUCUGUGGCUACCAAAGAGGACAGAUUGUGGGGGAGAGAGUGGACUGAGGGCUUGGGAUUGGCAGGUGCAAGGAAUAAUGGGCCAACAGGGCCCUGCUGUACAGCGCUGGGAACUCUACCCAACAUUCUGGGAUAAUCUAUACGGGGAAAGAAUCUGAAAAAGAAUGGACAUGUGUACAUGUAUAACUGAAUCACUUUGUUGUACAGAAGUUAUCGCAACACUGUAAAUCCACUAUACUUUAAUAAAACUUUAAAAAAAGAAAAAAAUACCUCUACCUUCAAUCUCCUUUUCAGGAAACUCUUCUCUCCUUUUAAAAAUACAGAGAAUGAUGCUCACCAUAUUCUACCAUGUAGAUGAUCAAAGCUAAAUCUUUUGCCAUAUGUCCUUCUAAUUUUCUUUAAGUAAUACAGCACUAAAAAUACCCCAAAAAUCAAGUUGCUUUUCAAAACGUGACUAUUGUUCUAGGCAGAAAUAUCUAUAAAAGCAUGGUUUGUAUUGCACUAGUUACAUUUUCCUGAUACACACUGAGGUAAAUUACUACCAUUAAAAUAGCUUAGCAUAGCGGUCAGAAGCACAGAUGCUGACUGCAUUCAAAUCCUGGCUCUGCCACUACUAGCUGUGUGAUCUUGGGUGAGUUACUUAACCUCUCAGUGCCUCAGCUUUACGAUCUGUUAAAUAAUAAUACCUACCUCACGGAGUCACUCUGAGGAUCUACUUUAUGAAUAUUUGUAACACACUGAGGAUUCAAUUCGAGAAUAUUUGUAAAAUACUCGUAUCGUCUAGAACUCUCUACACGAACAACACCAUGAAAGGCACGCAGGUACACGCCAUCUCUUACCUCAGGAUUUGCCUGUGUCGUUCCUCCUCUUGGGGUCACUCUACUGUUCCCCCUCCCCUAUUCCAUCGAGAAAGCAAAAACAAAAGCAACAGACAACACGCCCUCAUUCCUGCCCUCUUGAAAGCCACCCAUCUUCAGGUCCAUGUUGAAUAGAUAGAAUAAUUGAGCAUCUGUUAUUUUGCAAGCCCUGUGCUCAGCCCUUUGAAGACAUCACCUAAAUUAAUUUGUCAUUUUUCUCUAUGAGGAAGGCCCAAGCUUAAAGAGAUGAGGUUCCUUUCCCAAGGGCCUACACCAGGUAAGUAGAAGAGUCAGGAUUCAAACCCAGGUCCAUCUGACCCCACAGCCUAGGCUCAUCCCACUGAGCCCUGAGGCCCCACGUGGAGGUUCCCUCUUCCCAGGACCCAUCACAUGAAUCUUCUUUCCUCUCCCAUGAGACUGAAUAAAGUCUGCUUUAUAACAGAAUUAUUUAUCUGCUUGUCUUUCCCCCUCAGUUAUUCAAGAUAAUCUUUUCUGUUUUCAGCAUUUUGAAAAGAAAUUGGAGUCCCCUUGUGGCUCAGCAGGUUAAGAACCCGAUAUAGUGUCCGUGAGAACGCAGGUUCAAUCCCUGGCCUCACUCAGUGGGUUAAGGAUCUGGCGUUGCCCAUGAGCUGUGGUGUAGGUCACAGACACGGCUCGGAUCCUGCAUUGCUGUGGCUGUGGUGUAGGCUGGCAGCUGUAGCUCUGGUUCGACCCCUAGCCUGGGAACAUCCAUGUGCCUCAGCUGAGGCCCUAAACAGGCAAAGAAAAAAGAAAAGAAAUCAUCUUAAAAUUUCCCUGAAUUUGAAAAAGGAUUUCAUUAUGCUGAGCUGAACGUAACCUUUUCUUUGCAACUCCAGUCAUCCUUAUCAGUGACAAACACUGUUAUGUUCUAUGCUCUGGACGUGACUUCAGGGCAAUUGCUCUCUGUGUGGUACAGGGUGACUGUUAAAAAAAAUCAGACUCCUCAGCCCCUCCUCGGGUCUACGGAAUCAAAAUCUCUGGGUUAAGGACCAGGAGUCACUCAAGUUUCAGAAUCACUGCCUUGGGCUCUGGAUGGGCAUUUGACCCUGCUUUACACUCCCAGACAGCGACUGUGUUUUAGAGCUUGUGUCUGUUUUUCAUGGGUUUUUUUGACCUCUCCCACCCUGCACGUUGACAGCUAUCAUUUCUCACUGCCAACCAACACUGCGGCAUAAAUUUCUUCUAUUUUAUCUUCUAGCCACCAGUGCUAUGGUUUCCAAACUCUUUCUUGUUAGUUUUAGCACACUCUUCCUGAAAACUGAGUCUUCGACAGAUGCCAAUGUACAGCACAUACUAUCAGAGCUAUUCUGAGGGACCAGAAGGGAAUGGCCUGGAUUCCAAUGCUGGUCCCACUUCCUGUCCUCUGCAUCCCCAUCGCCACCAUCCGGGGUGGCCUGAGUCCCUCCCCAGAUUCCCUAUGCUUCCCAGACAGCCUUUCCCAAACCACCAAAAUAAUGCAACCUUCCGGCAGCUCUUGCCACACAUUUAGAGUGACCAAUACCUUAUUUUUUAUACAGGCUCAAACUGAUCAGAAAAGAGUCUUUUCAGGAAAGUUUGUCAGUAUCAUCCAAAGUCAAACGUGGAUUCCUUUUUCUUUGAGAGCCUAUCACCACAUGCAUAACCAGCCCCUCUAUUUGCAAAGUCACCCCUUACAGUGAAUAUUCUUGACAUGAGAGAGGAUAAUCUCAUUAUACUGGCAUUGGGACUAUCCUCUACUUUUUUAAAGACUCUUAGAAAGGCUCUCAGAAAAAUAAUGGUCAAGGAAAUUUGCCUUUUCCAGAAAAUCUCUCCUCUGGAAAAGAGAAUGAGAAAGAGCAUCCAGAAAAACAUUCUAACCUUUUUAAAAUUUUAGGCAUCUUGUAUUGGCUGCGUUCUAAAUAUGUGAGGAGUAUAUGAAUAAUCUAAAAAUAUGUUUCAGGCAGCAAUCUUUAAACUUGAGAAAAUAUUUUUAAGCUAAGUUCUCUUAGGCUCUUUUUGGAUUUUCCUUCUAAAAUGUAUCACGUUGAAAAGAUAAAUAAAUAAAUAAGUCUAGUCUUGCACGCAAGAUUAAAUGAUCCACCACACGCCUUUUUUUUUUCGCGUGCUUUCAUGCUGUUCGUUAAGUAAGUCAUCUCAGUAAAAGAGAAAAUGAUAUAUAAAUUUGUCCAUUAAUUCAGUCAAUUCAGCAGAAAUUCAUUGUAGAACUGUACGCCUGCCAUGCUAGUGCUGGUGGCAUAGAUAUGAGAGCCAAAUGCUUGUUUUUCAGGAACUUACAGUUGUAUCAGAGAACCUUCUAACUAAAAGUUUAAACAUGUAAAAACAAAGCACAGAAUUAAUUCAUCCAUAAUAAUAUGUUCAAGAAAAUAUACCUUAUUUGGGAAGCAUAGUAGAUAAAUAAAUAAACAAAAUUCCUAAUGCUGAGAUGUAGAAUUGAAGAAGUGGGAUGAACAUUGUGUGCUCUGAAGGUGGGGCACAUGGCGGGUACAUGAUCUCUCUGGUGAAUUAAGACCAGGUUCAAAGUCACGUCGAGAGAAGGAGAGAUGGCACUGCAGCCAAAGUGGGACAAUUAAUGCCUAUAGGUAAAAGAUAGGUGUCCAGAGUGUUCCCUCUGCUAUUCUUUCGACUUUUCUGUAGCUUUGAAUUUUUUCAAAAUAAAAUUGGGUGGGCGGGUGGUGGAAGGUUCAAACACACACAUCCGGACAAGGCACAGCCAUCAGCGCCUGGACUGGGGUGAGGAAAUGGAGCCACUGGUGUGAGCCAUGCAUUUAUUCGCUCAUUUAGUCACCAACCAGGUCCCGAAGCCCAGCUCUCUGCUAAGUGACUGCUCAGCGAGGAACGUAGUCUGUGCUAAGAAAC